RNAcentral lists this small nuclear RNA (107 nucleotides) under Rhinolophus ferrumequinum (greater horseshoe bat). Lineage: Eukaryota; Metazoa; Chordata; Mammalia; Chiroptera; Rhinolophidae. The record is from RNAcentral.
GUGCUCACUUCGGCAGCACAUAUACUAAAAUUGGAAUGAUACAGAAAAGAUCAGCAUGGCCCCUGCGCAAGGAUGACAUGCAAAUUCAUGACGCGUUCCAUAGUUUU